UACGGAGGGGGCUAGCGUUGUUCGGAAUGACUGGGCGUAAAGCGCGCGUAGGCGGACCUGCAAGUCGGGGGUGAAAGCCCGAGGCUCAACCUCGGAACUGCCUUCGAUACUGCGGGUCUCGAGUCCGGGAGAGGUGAGUGGAAUUCCUAGUGUAGAGGUGAAAUUCGUAGAUAUUAGGAAGAACACCAGUGGCGAAGGCGGCUCACUGGCCCGGUACUGACGCUGAGGCGCGAAAGCGUGGGGAGCAAACAGG
RNAcentral lists this ribosomal RNA (253 nucleotides) under uncultured bacterium. RNAcentral describes it as "partial 16S ribosomal RNA". It matches the Rfam family "Bacterial small subunit ribosomal RNA", at positions 524 to 776 of the family's 1533-position model. The record is from RNAcentral.